Molecule: long non-coding RNA, 2069 nt
Organism: Ctenopharyngodon idella (grass carp)
Lineage: Eukaryota; Metazoa; Chordata; Actinopteri; Cypriniformes; Xenocyprididae
Exons: 3
Source: RefSeq, a predicted model, not a curated record
UUUUUUUUCUUGCUGUUGUGCAGAUUCUCUGCUUGGAGCAGGGAGACCAUCCACUGGAAGAACAUACCCAGGACUUCAUGGAACUAGCAUGCCUAACUCACUAACCGGACCGCUCACUGUCUCGCUGCGUGGUUUAAGGCCUGUUGCGGCCCCUCCCUCGGCUCCACAAGAAACCAUUGUCCUGAUGGCUCCACCAGGCUCCUUCAUCCCACCAGCUCCUCCUUGGUCAGACAUAGUCCUGCCUGCACCUUGGCUCUGUCUGGCUCCACCUUCAUCCUCAGUCCCACUGGCUCCACCUCAGUCUUCAGGAUCCCUGAUUCCACCUCGGACGCUGGUCGCCAUGGCUCCACCUCCAUCUCCAGUGCCAGCAAUGUUGCGUGGGCUCUUCUUCAAGUCAGCUCCACCUUGGUCUCCAUCUCCCGCAGCUCCAUCUCCAUUAGUUGUCCCCAGGGGGUUGUCAGCCAAGUCAACACCAUGGCUCCUCCCUCCAUUAACUCCGCCAUGGGGCUUAAUCCUGGGUGGACUCUGUGUGACCAUCUGGCUCCUCCUGCUCCUGGCUCCUCCUUGUCUCAUCCACUCCCCCAAGGAUUGUUUGGUUCACCCCGAACUUUCUUUCUCUCUCUUAUAGUUCACGCCCUCCUUCAGAGACCCUGCCAUCCCUCUUCAGUUGGAACUUAUACUGCGUGAGGACGCGCCUUUCUGGGAGAGGGCGUAAUGUAACAUCUUCUCUGCUUGGAGCAGGGAGACCAUCCAAUAGAAGAACAUACCCAAGACUUCAUGGAACUAGCGUGCCUAAUUCACUAACCGGACCGCUCACUGUCUCGCUGAGCGUUUUAAGGCCUGACACGGCCUGUCGACCUAUCGGCUCCAUAUUGGCUCCUCCCUCCCUCGGCUCCAUGAGAAACCAUUGUCUUGAAGGCUCCACCAGGCUCUCUCAUCCCACCGGCUCCUCCUUGGUCAGACGUAGUCCUGUCUGUACCUUUGGCUUCGUCUGGCUCCACCUUCAUCCUCAGUCCCACUGCCUCCACCUCAGUCCUCAGGCUCACUGAUUCCACCUCAGACGCUCAUCACCAUGGCUCCACCUUCGUCUCCAGUGCCAGCAAUGUUGCGUGGGCUCUUCUUCAAGUCAGCUCCACCUGGGUCUCCAUUUGCAGCGGCUCCAUCUCCAUCAGUCGUCCCCAGGGUGUUGUCAGCCAAGUCAACACCAUGGCUCCUCCUCCCUCCCCAGUCCUGGCUGGACUCUGGGUGACCAUCUGGCUCCUCCUGCUCCUGGCUCCUCCACUCCCCCAUGGACUGUUUGGUUUGCCCCGAACUUUCUUUUUCUCUCUCCUGUUUCACGUCCCCCUCCAGAGCCCCCCGCCCUCCCUCUUCAGUUGGAACUUAUACGGCGCGAGGGUGCGUCUUCCUGGGAGGGGGUGUAAUGUAAUGCCUCAGUUCUUCAGCACAUUCAGAACAGUUCAAGCUUCCAGCUGGCAGCCUAUUCCUGCCACAAAUCCGUCCGAGAGCUCCCAGAUGAAGCCAUGUGCCUCCAAGCAUCUGUAACAUGGCCGAGCCGUGGGGAAAAGGUCCCGCUCCGCUGCCACCGGCUGCUGCACCUGCAGGAUUCUCUCCGGGCCUCCAGUCUAUGAGGAUAUUCAAGGAACCGGCCUCCAUGCGGAGGAUUAUGUUUCUGAGACCCGAAGCCCCCCACUGAACAUGACCUGGAGUUACAUCAUAAUUGUUUCUCUGUAAUGAGUCAGCAGAGCGAAUGCUUGUUUUCCCGCUGCUCGGCGACCCUGAACAUUUCCGAGAUGGUGGAUGCACUUAUGAAAUAGAUAUUUUACAGGUCUGGUUAAUUUCAUAGCUGUUCCUUUCUUAAUGUGAUUUUCCCGCAAAGAUUGUUUAGGCAGACUUUUUAGGGAAAGAGAGUGGAAAAGAAAUGCAUACCGAGUCCAAAGUGAGCCACUGGCUCCAUCUCGCACAAGUACCCCGAUCCUCCGUCUAUAAUACGUGUGUGAGGGCCGUUUCUCUUAGUGUAGACGAUCACCUUUGCCCCACGAGCAAAAGCCCCAAACUGUGUGCGUGGAAUC